CCAUGUGCAUUAGUCAAUUGCAGUCGAUAUCAAAAGCAGAGAUUUAACCUUUUUCUUUUUCCUUUUGCAAGUUGCCGGUUGCAGGUUAGAAUCAACAGUAGAAAUGCUGUAUUAUGUACACAUGUUCUAGAUGGCAUGGCAGCGAUACAUGUUCUCCAGAACCAGCUCGCACCAAUGAGGGUACAAAUAAGAGAUGGUUAUCCCUAUCAGCAGGUGCGCAAUUGGCAUCGGCAGCCUACCCUAUCGCCGCUUGUGAAACCGG
Molecule: long non-coding RNA, 262 nt
Filed under: Setaria italica (foxtail millet)
Lineage: Eukaryota; Viridiplantae; Streptophyta; Magnoliopsida; Poales; Poaceae
Description: long non-coding RNA (SITA_LNC001284)
Source: RNAcentral